This 523-nucleotide ribosomal RNA is filed under the name uncultured bacterium. RNAcentral describes it as "bacterial SSU rRNA". It matches the Rfam family "Bacterial small subunit ribosomal RNA", at positions 1 to 485 of the family's 1533-position model. The record is from RNAcentral.
GGUUUAGAGUUUGAUUCCAUGGCUCAGAACGAACGCUGGCAGCGUGGAUUAGGCAUGCAAGUCGAACGGAAGCUGUUUUGAACAAUUCUUCGGAAAAGUGAUGAAUGGCAAGAGUGGCGGAAGGGUUAGUAUCGCGUGGGCAAUCUGCCCUCAAGUUGGGAAUAGCCCGCCGAAAGGCGGAUUAAUGCCGAAUGUGGUUUGUGGUCGCAUGGCCGCAACACUAAAGGUGGGGAUCUUCGGACCUACCGCUUGGGGAGGAGCCUGCGUACGAUUAGCUAGUUGGUGAGGUAACGGCCCACCAAGGCUAUGAUCGUUAGCUGGUCUGAGAGGAUGGUCAGCAACACUGGGACUGAGACACUGCCCAGACUCCUACGGGAGGCUGCAGUCGAGAAUCAUUUGCAAUGCGCGAAAGCGUGACAAUGCGACGCUGCGUGGAGGAUGAAGGCCUUCGGGUUGUAAACUCCUGUCGGGACGGAAAAAUUGACAAUUGGAUAAUACCUGAUUGUGUUGAAGUACCUCCAGA